CAAUAGCGUAUAUUAACGUUGUUGCAGUUAAAAAGCUCGUAGUUGGAUUUCUGGAGGGAGCGUCGGCCCGUAUUUACGAGUGCGUGACGUCUCUGUCCAUCCUUGCAGGAAGGCACGGCAUUGAUUUGUUGUGUCGGAUCGCAUCAUUUACUGUGAAAAAAUUAGAGUGUUCAAAGCAGGCUUUCGCUUGAAUACAUUAGCAUGGAAUAAUAAGAUAGGACUUUGGUGCUAUUUUGUUGGUUGAGCCUAAAGUAAUGAUUAAUAGGGAUAGUUGGGGGCACCUGUAUUGCGUUGUCAGAGGUGAAAUUCUUGGAUUUACGCAAGACAAACAGCUGCGAAAGCGUCUGCCAAGGAUGUUUUCAUUAA
RNAcentral lists this ribosomal RNA (366 nucleotides) under uncultured eukaryote. Its description in RNAcentral is "partial 18S ribosomal RNA". It matches the Rfam family "Eukaryotic small subunit ribosomal RNA", at positions 592 to 976 of the family's 1831-position model. The record is from RNAcentral.